Molecule: RNA transcript, 385 nt
Organism: Sapajus apella (tufted capuchin)
Lineage: Eukaryota; Metazoa; Chordata; Mammalia; Primates; Cebidae
Gene name: 60S ribosomal protein L38 pseudogene
Exons: 1
Source: RefSeq, a predicted model, not a curated record
AGCUUUUUCGUCCUCGUCCCCGGUUGUUGCUCACUGUGAGCGUCUGUAGGGUGAAACGUGGGUGAGAAGGUCCCGGUGCGCGCCCGCUCCCAACGCGUCCCGUCACCAUGCCUCGGAAAAUUGAGAAAAUCAAGGACUUUCUGCCCACAGCCCGACGAAAAGAUGCCAAAUCUGUCAAGAUCAAGAAAAAUAAGGACAAUGUGAAGUUUAAAGUUCGAUGCAGGAGAUACAGUUACACCCUGGUCAUCACUGACAAGGAGAGGCAGAGAAACUGAAGCAGUCCCUGCCCCCUGGUUUGGCAGUGAAGGAACUGGAACCAAAACACACUGAUCUGACCUGUAUUUUAAUAAAAACUAAAAAUCCUAAAAAAAAAAAAAAAAGAAAA